GGUUUUGCCACUCUUUUUGAUAUACCUUGAGAGAAAGCUUUACAUGUAGCAGCCAUAUUUAAAUAGUUAUAUAGUUUAUAUUCUGGACACUUAUUCCAUAUUAAUCAGGACCAGAAUAGCUUCAUGUUAUAUUAAUCUGGUGAUGUUUCUAAACAGGAGAUAGACCUUUGUACCAUAUACAUGGGUUGAUUUAUUUAUGUCGUAUGAAUAAAUGAAUAAUUAAACUUGACGAAUCCUUUUAUUCGCCACAAGAACCCUAUUACAUUUGGCGCCCACUAGUAGGUUAGACGUUCGACGACAUAUUUCCUGUUGGAGCCUCACUGAAGGUCAAGAUCUAGGACGUGACAUCCACCGGAAGAUUGGAAAAAUCAGUCGAAAAUAUUGAACACGUUGCUGAAAAUUGUUUAUUGUACAGACUAUUUGCUGUUGUAUACAUUGUUUAUGUAAUGAAAUGGACCAGAAUAGCUUCAUGUUAUAUUAAUCUGGUGAUGUUUCUAAACAGGAGAUAGACCUUUGUACCAUAUACAUGGUAAGAUCAGUGUUACAUGUAUUUUUAGUUUACUGUAUUGUCUGUGUUUGUCUAUUUAAUUUUAGUUCAGUAUAUGUAUUGUUUGUGUCUUGUGAAUAGUAGUUACCUGUAUGUCAAUUAUUACAUGUAAACAUUAUAGUAAGAAAUUGUAGUUCAUUCAUAAAUCUAUGAAUGAGUAGCGUAAUACAAUUGGACAUAUGUAGUAAUUAAUCCUGACUUGGUUUAUAAUUGAGUUUAAUUGAAUUCAUAUAAUUAUAAUAUACACUUAAAUAGUAUUGGUUGUAUUCUUACAGAAAAGAGCUAGUUUAUCGUAUUUUAUACAUGUACUUUCCGUUUUAUGAUUUAG
Long non-coding RNA from Mytilus trossulus (common blue mussel), 875 nucleotides. RefSeq lists it as uncharacterized. The record is from RefSeq and is a predicted model, not a curated record. The transcript is spliced from 4 exons. NCBI's taxonomy places the organism in Eukaryota, Metazoa, Mollusca, Bivalvia, Mytilida, Mytilidae.